This is a microRNA precursor of Aotus nancymaae (Ma's night monkey), 92 nucleotides long. Lineage: Eukaryota; Metazoa; Chordata; Mammalia; Primates; Aotidae. The record is from Ensembl.
GCUGGGAUGUGUCAGGUAGGCAGUGUAUUGUUAGCGGCUGUUAAUAAUUUUAACAGUUGCUGGUUGCACUCCCUUCUGUUGCAUUCAGAAGC